CCUACGGGAGGCUGCAGUGGGGAAUAUUGCACAAUGGGGGAAACCCUGAUGCAGCAACGCCGCGUGAGUGAAGAAGUAUUUCGGUAUGUAAAGCUCUAUCAGCAGGGAAGAAGAUGACGGUACCUGAUAAAGAAGCUCCGGCUAACUACGUGCCAGUAGCCGCGGUAAUACGUAGGGGGCAAGCGUUAUCCGGAUUUACUGGGUGUAAAGGGAGCGCAGACGGCUGUGCAAGUCUGGAGUGAAAGCCCGGGGCUCAACCCCGGAACCGCUCAGGAGACUGUGCGGCUAGAGUACUGGAGGGGCAGGCGGAAUUCCUAGUGUAGCAGUGAAAUGCGUAGAUAUGAGGAGGAACACCAGUGGCGAAGGCGGCCUGCUGGACAGUAACUGACGUUGAGGCUCGAAAGCGUGGGGAGCAAACAGGAUUAGAUACCCUAGUAGUC
Molecule: ribosomal RNA, 440 nt
Filed under: uncultured bacterium
Lineage: Bacteria
Description: partial 16S ribosomal RNA
Rfam family: Bacterial small subunit ribosomal RNA
Source: RNAcentral